Molecule: ribosomal RNA, 252 nt
Filed under: uncultured bacterium
Lineage: Bacteria
Description: partial 16S ribosomal RNA
Rfam family: Bacterial small subunit ribosomal RNA
Source: RNAcentral
UACGAAGGGUGGCAAACGUUGCUCGGAAUCAUUGGCGUAAAGCGCACGUAGGCGGCCCCAAAGUUGGAUGUGAAAUCCCUCGGCUCAACCGAGGACGUGCAUCCAAAACUGUGGGGCUUGAGUACUGAAGAGGAUCGCGGAAUUCCCGGUGUAGAGGUGAAAUUCGUAGAUAUCGGGAGGAACACCGGUGGCGAAGGCGGGUCUCUGGGCAUCUCCUGACGCUGAGGCGCGAAAGCGUGGGGAGCAAACGGG